Molecule: ribosomal RNA, 392 nt
Filed under: uncultured bacterium
Lineage: Bacteria
Description: partial 16S ribosomal RNA
Rfam family: Bacterial small subunit ribosomal RNA
Source: RNAcentral
AUACGUAGGUGGCAAGCGUUAUCCGGAAUUAUUGGGCGUAAAGAGGGAGCAGGCGGCAGCAAGGGUCUGUGGUGAAAGCCUGAAGCUUAACUUCAGUAAGCCAUAGAAACCAGGCAGCUAGAGUGCAGGAGAGGAUCGUGGAAUUCCAUGUGUAGCGGUGAAAUGCGUAGAUAUAUGGAGGAACACCAGUGGCGAAGGCGACGAUCUGGCCUGCAACUGACGCUCAGUCCCGAAAGCGUGGGGAGCAAAUAGGAUUAGAUACCCUAGUAGUCCACGCCGUAAACGAUGAGUACUAAGUGUUGGAUGUCAAAGUUCAGUGCUGCAGUUAACGCAAUAAGUACUCCGCCUGAGUGGUACGUUCGCAAGAAUGAAACUCAAAUGAAUUGGCGGGG